AGGAUUAUUGCCUAAAGAUAAGCAAUUGAAGCUUAAAGACUACUUUAUUAAGCAAAUCAGAGCUUAUAUGAAUGGUAAAGUACCUAUUGCUACAGUUACUCAAGGCACAAGCGCAUCAAGCAACACGGCAAAACCGGUCGCAGGAGCGUGGAGACGCAAUAGUUAUGGUACUUACUAUAUGGAAGAAAAGGCGAGGUUUACGAACGGUAAUCAGCCGAUUAUGGUACGAACUGUCGGUCCGUUCACAAGUUGCCC
RNAcentral lists this non-coding RNA (255 nucleotides) under Phietavirus pv37. Its description in RNAcentral is "Staphylococcus phage 37 Staphylococcus sRNA 808". It matches the Rfam family "Staphylococcus sRNA 808". From Rfam's summary of the family: Other name: Srn9345. Highly expressed under all conditions tested. Northern blot transcript confirmed in exponentially growing and stationary cells in three cultivation media. Lineage: Duplodnaviria; Heunggongvirae; Uroviricota; Caudoviricetes. The record is from Rfam by way of RNAcentral.